CCUACGGGAGGCAGCAGUGGGGGAUAUUGCACAAUGGGGGGAACCCUGAUGCAGCGACGCCGCGUGGGUGAAGAAGCGCCUCGGCGCGUAAAGCCCUGUCAGCAGGGAAGAAAAUGACGGUACCUGAAGAUGAAGCCCCGGCUAACUACGUCCCAGCAGCCCCGGUAAUACGUAGGGGGCAAGCGUUAUCCGGAUUUACUGGGUGUAAGGGGGCGCAGGCGGCGAUGCAAGCCAUGAGGUAAAGCCAGGGGAUCAACCCCGGGACUGCUCGUGGGACUGCGUGGCUGGAGUGCAGGAGGGGCAGGCGGAAGGCGUGGUGUAGCGGUGAAAUGCGUAGAUAUCAGGAGGAACACCGGUGGCGAAGGCGGCCUGCUGGCCUGCAACUGACGUUGAGGCCCGAAAGCGUGGGGAGCAAACAGGAUUAGAUACCCGAGUAGUC
This 439-nucleotide ribosomal RNA is filed under the name uncultured bacterium. RNAcentral's name for it is "partial 16S ribosomal RNA". It matches the Rfam family "Bacterial small subunit ribosomal RNA", at positions 338 to 795 of the family's 1533-position model. The record is from RNAcentral.